UAGCUGUGUCUGUGCUGUAGCUGUGUCUGUGUACGUGCUGUCGCUGUGUCUGUGUUGUAGCUGUAGCUGCGUCCGUGCUGUAGCUGCGUCCGUGCUGUAGCUGUGUCUGUGUGUGUGCUGUAGGUGUGUGUGUGCUGUAGGUGUGUCUGUGCUGUAGCUGUGUCUGUGUUGUAGCUGCGUCUGUGCUGUAGCUGCGUCUGUGCUGUAGCUGUGUCUGUGUCUGUGUCUGUGCUGUAGCUGUGUUUGUGUCUGUGCUGUAGCUGUGUCUGUAGCUGUGCUGUAGCUGUGUCUGUAGCUGUGUCUGUAGCUGUGUCUGUGUCUGUGCUGUAUCUGUGUCUCUGCUGUAGUUGU
This is a long non-coding RNA of Dicentrarchus labrax (European seabass), 351 nucleotides long. RefSeq lists it as uncharacterized. The record is from RefSeq and is a predicted model, not a curated record. The transcript has 3 exons. Lineage: Eukaryota; Metazoa; Chordata; Actinopteri; Moronidae.